GACGUAGGAGGCGAGCGUUGUCCGGAUUCAUUGGGCGUAAAGAGCGCGCAGGCGGCUUGGUAAGUCGGAUGUGAAAACCCGAGGCUCAACCUCGGGCGUGCAUCCGAAACUGCUCGGCUAGAGGUAGGUAGGGGAGAUCGGAAUUCCUGGUGUAGCGGUGAAAUGCGCAGAUAUCAGGAGGAACACCGGUGGCGAAGGCGGAUCUCUGGGCCUUACCUGACGCUCAGGCGCGAAAGCUAGGGGAGCAAACAGG
RNAcentral lists this ribosomal RNA (253 nucleotides) under uncultured bacterium. RNAcentral's name for it is "partial 16S ribosomal RNA". It matches the Rfam family "Bacterial small subunit ribosomal RNA", at positions 524 to 776 of the family's 1533-position model. The record is from RNAcentral.